This 415-nucleotide long non-coding RNA is filed under the name Pan troglodytes (chimpanzee). Its description in RNAcentral is "long non-coding RNA NONPTRT005222". Lineage: Eukaryota; Metazoa; Chordata; Mammalia; Primates; Hominidae. The record is from RNAcentral.
UAUAAAUAUAUAACCAUAGCUAGGUGUGUCAAGUUGUCCUCUCCAUCUUAUAUCAGCCUUGUCUGUAAGGACUAAUUCCCCAUAAUUACUUGAGAACCUCAUAAAUUGUGGUUCUUUUUUGUUUGUUUUUAGAGGCAGGCUCUCACACUGUUCCACAGCUUAAAGUACAGUUGUGUGAUCAUAGCUCACUGUAAUUGUGAGCUCCGGACUCACGUAAUCUUCCCGUAUUAGCCUCCUGAGUAUCUAGAAUUUUCAUAGAAAUAGCGUCUCUUUAUGUUUCCCAGGUUGGCUUCGAUUUCCUGGUCUCAUGGGCCUCCAUGGUUAGAUAAUAUUUUAAACUAGAUUGAGCUAUAGUGGUUGCUGUAUUGAAUCACUAUAUUUUUUUAGUUUCAUGUUAGCUUUUUGUGUGUUAGCA